RNAcentral lists this long non-coding RNA (487 nucleotides) under Olea europaea (common olive). RNAcentral's name for it is "long non-coding RNA (OEUR_LNC011704)". The record is from RNAcentral. Lineage: Eukaryota; Viridiplantae; Streptophyta; Magnoliopsida; Lamiales; Oleaceae.
GAUGUGAUCCGGGCUACGCCAAGAGCUACCAAAUAUUUGAUGUUUGUUGGCAAAAAUUUAAGGACCCAUUUGAGAUUAAUUGAAGUCGUCAAAGCCGGCUGUUUAUAUGUUAGAGCCAUGGAAUUCAAGUUUAGUUCGAGCCGAGUCCGGGACUUCAACAAAAUUAAUAAAGCCAACCAAUAUGAUAAUUGAGCUAUGGGUUUCAUAAGGUUGACGUUCACAAGUCAGUUGAAUAGAAUUAUGUGUUGGGAAUGAAGAACUAAGCAAGCUGGAGGAAAUUUAUGGAAGCAAGCUGGAGCAAUGCAGAAUUUAAUUAUCCACACUUUUAUGCAUGCAAAAUGAUGGCUGAAUUUAUAAAAUAUAUAAACAUAUGGGCAGCUGAAGUUAGAUGAUUAAGAGGUUGGAAAUUGGAAUAAAUUCGCAUAAGGCAAAAGGGGGUAGAAUUCCCUGUCUUCAUGCAACUUGUUCGGCUUAAGGAAAAUCGAAG